UAGUCCACGCCGUAAACGAUGAGUGCUAAUUCUGGGAAUUUCCUGGGAUAAAGCUAACGCGUUAAGCACUCCGCCUGGGUAGUACGAUCGCAAGAUUAAAACUCAAAGGAAUUGACGGGGGCCCGUACAAGCGGUGGAGCAUGUGGUUUAAUUCGAUGAUAACCGAAAAACCUUACCAGUUCUUGACAUGUAUGUAGAGAUUCGUGAAAGUGAAUUGCAUUUAGUUGGACAUACACAGGUGUUGCAUGGCUGUCGUCAGCUCGUGUCGUGAGAUGUUGGGUUAAGUCCCUUAACGAGCGCAACCCUUGUCAUUAUUUGCCAGUGAGUUAUGUCGGGAACUAUAAUGAUACUGCUAUUGAAAAAUAGAGGAAGGAGAGGAUGAUGUCAAGUCAUCAUGGCCCUUAUGGACUGGGCUACACACGUGCUACAAUGGAUAAUACAAUGUGUUGCAAUGUGGAAACACUGAGCUAAUCAUAAAAAUUAUUCUCAGUUCGG
Molecule: ribosomal RNA, 495 nt
Filed under: uncultured bacterium
Lineage: Bacteria
Description: bacterial SSU rRNA
Rfam family: Bacterial small subunit ribosomal RNA
Source: RNAcentral